This 45-nucleotide non-coding RNA is filed under the name Echinostoma caproni. The record is from RNAcentral. Lineage: Eukaryota; Metazoa; Platyhelminthes; Trematoda; Plagiorchiida; Echinostomatidae.
ACACUGCUGAAGAGUCCCAAACACGACUAAACAGCUGUCCAGUGA